UCAGGUGAGUUUCUGCCCUCCCUUGGUUGCUUGUGUGUCUUCUCUUCAAAAUCCUUCUAGUUUUCAUAAGAUCUACCCUUGGUUUGAAGUUUUAAAGUUUAAAGGGAGUUUUGGAAGCUUGGAGCUUUUGGAGCUUGGAUUCUCCACGCCUCCGAGUUAGGGAUCGCACCAACCCUCGAUCUUCAAGAGGUAAGUGUAGAUCUUGGUUUCCCUUGAGUUUUCAUGAAGUUUUAAGUAAGUUUUAUGAAGAUUUUAUGUUAGAAUGGGUAGAUAUGCAUGUUUAGGCUUUUAUAGGUUUGAUGCCCAAUGUAUGUUAUGUGAUGAUGUGUUGAGGAGUUUAAGCUAGUUUCUUUGCUCUCUUUGCUUGUGGGAGUGUGUAUGCAUGCUUGGGAGAGAGUAUGUGAGGUUUGGGGUUGUUUUGUGAAGUUUAGGAGGCUGGUAUGCACGAAGGCGGAGUUCUGAUGAACUCAGGUUCGGCCGCCGAAGGUGGUUUCGGCCGCCGAACGUGCCUGAGGAUGCAUAGGUUUGGCCGCCUAACCUUGCCCCCGAAAGUGGAGUUGUGGCUUGAAAGCAGACUUUCGGCCGCCGAAGGUAAUGUUCGGCCGCCGAAAGUGCCUGACUUUCGUCUCUGGAGUGAGGGUUCGGCCGCCGAAGGUGCCGCCGAACCUACCCGAGUUUCGUCUCUGGAGGAGACUUUCGGCCGCCGAAGGUGCCGCCGAAAGUGCCUGUCCAGCCUUUUCAUGGCUGUUUUCCUAUGCGUAUUUCUAUGAUGUUUAGAGGGGUUUUUGGGGAGUUUCUUAUGAGUUGUUAGCAUGUGUUUAGUACCUCAUGUGAGUCCAUCUGUGUAGGAUUGGACCCGAGGAGAGGUGUCUAGCCUCAGUGCUAGUUGACCCUGAGUUUGUUGAGCAGAGGCUUCAGGUGAGUAGAACUAAACUUAAUGUUUUACUUUAAGAAAUGAUAUGUUAUGUAAUGCUAUGUAUGUUUAUUUUGCUUGUAUAGUUUAGUGGUGGACAUGAGCAUGAUGAUAUAUGGACAUGAUAGAUGGACUUGAUGUAUGGUCCUUAUGUAUAAUAAGAAUAUGAUGAAUGGAAAGAGUAAAGAGUAAUGUUAUAAAGAGAUAGAGCCAAGUUAAGAAAGUAUAGAUAUGUCAUGUGUUGUAGCAUGAGAUGUAUAGAAUUGUGCUUUGCCUAGAGUGUUGGUAAAUCCCUUUUUGUUAUGCAUGAUCUUGAGAAAAUGUUUUAAAUGUUAUGAGUUUUGAAUGGCCCGUGAGGGAAGAAAGGGUUCCAAUCCCUUGACCCAAAGCGGAUAUGUUUUAAAGCAAGCUUGAUGACCCAUCUGGUAUGAGGUUCUAUGUUUUCAUGCAUAGGUCAAGCUGAGGUAAAGAAAACAAGUUUAAAGGUUUUUAUGAGACCAAAGCUUAAGUUUUAUGAAAAUGUUGAUCAUGUAUGGGAUUAUACCUAGAGUUUCAGGAUGUUUAGAGGCUUGCUACGGGUUCCGGCGGCCUUAAGCCGAUCUGAAUCCUAGCGCCGAGCAGGUCGGAGCCGCUACAGAGGGGUACCGGUUUCCGGGCUGUUACAG
Molecule: long non-coding RNA, 1578 nt
Filed under: Manihot esculenta (cassava)
Lineage: Eukaryota; Viridiplantae; Streptophyta; Magnoliopsida; Malpighiales; Euphorbiaceae
Description: long non-coding RNA (MESC_LNC009258)
Source: RNAcentral